This 342-nucleotide non-coding RNA is filed under the name Triticum aestivum (bread wheat). RNAcentral describes it as "Bacterial large subunit ribosomal RNA". It matches the Rfam family "Bacterial large subunit ribosomal RNA", at positions 2119 to 2469 of the family's 2925-position model. The record is from Rfam by way of RNAcentral. RNAcentral also lists the same sequence under 1 other name. Lineage: Eukaryota; Viridiplantae; Streptophyta; Magnoliopsida; Poales; Poaceae.
GUACACCUUCAAAAAGCUCUGAUCGAUAGGUGGGAGGUGAUGACACGUAGACCAAUCCUGAAAAACCACUCUUUCGUCUAAGGAUGCCUAACCGCCACACCGAUCAUUUGCAUGUGGGCGGGGGAGGACACUACAUGGUGGGUAGUUUAUAUGGGAUGGAUGUCUCCUAAAGAGUAAUGGAGGUAUGCGAAGGUAGGCUCAAGCGUUGAUUCUACUCGUGAGCGUAACGGUAUUAAGCCUGCCGACUAUGAGACCGACUGGUCGAAUAUAGACGAAAGUCGGUCAUAGUGACCCGAGAGUCCCGUGUGAAGGGGCUCUCGCUCAACAGAUCAAAGGUACGUC